This 253-nucleotide ribosomal RNA is filed under the name uncultured bacterium. RNAcentral's name for it is "partial 16S ribosomal RNA". It matches the Rfam family "Bacterial small subunit ribosomal RNA", at positions 524 to 776 of the family's 1533-position model. The record is from RNAcentral.
GACAGAGGGUGCGAACGUUGUUCGGAAUUACUGGGCGUAAAGCGCAUGUAGGCGGCAACGCAAGUCGGGCGUGAAAUCCCACGGCUCAACCGUGGAAGUGCACUCGAAACUGCGUAGCUAGAGUCCUGGAGAGGAAGGUGGAAUGCUUGGUGUAGAGGUGAAAUUCGUAGAUAUCAGGAGGAACACCGGUGGCGAAGGCGGGUCUCUGGGCCGAUACUGACGCUGAGGAGCGAAAGCGUGGGGAGCGAACAGG